AGUCUUAUAUUCAAUAAUGAUAUAAAAUUGCAAAUUUUAAAGAGUAAAUUUAUACUAAGGCUU
RNAcentral lists this transfer RNA (63 nucleotides) under Baronia brevicornis. Its description in RNAcentral is "tRNA-Cys". The record is from RNAcentral. Lineage: Eukaryota; Metazoa; Arthropoda; Insecta; Lepidoptera; Papilionidae.